AAGCAAUUUUUUGUUGGUUUUAGCCUCUUUUGGGAGAAAAUGGGUAUAAGUGUUGUCUAAACACUCCUAAUCCAUCUCUAACUCGUAUAAUUAGUCAAAUACUUUGGAUUGUGACACAUUUAGACCAUACAAAGACUAACAAAGCUAUUUACUGCUUCUAAGCAAUUUUUUCUUGGUUUUAGCUUCUUUUGGGAGAAAAUGGCUAUAAGUAUUGUCUAAACACUCCUAUCACAUCUUUAACUCUUAUAAUUAGUCAAAUGCAUUGGAUUGUGACACAUUUGGACCAUAAAAACACUAACAAAACUGUUUACUGCUUUUAAGCAAUUUUUUUGUUGGUUUUAGCCUCUUUUGGGAGAAAAUGGAUAUAAGUGUUGUCAAAACACCCCUAAUCCAUCUCUAACUCAUAUAAUCAGUUAAAUGUAUUGGAUUGCGAUACAUAUUGACCAUUGAAACACUAACAAAGCUAUUUAGU
This 472-nucleotide small RNA is filed under the name Arabidopsis thaliana (thale cress). Its description in RNAcentral is "ATSL035180". Lineage: Eukaryota; Viridiplantae; Streptophyta; Magnoliopsida; Brassicales; Brassicaceae. The record is from RNAcentral.